UGCGCAGGCGGCUUAUUAAGUCAGUGGUGAAAUCUCUCGGCUCAACCGAGAAACUGCCAUUGAAACUGAUAAGCUUGAGUGUAGUUGUAGUAGGCGGAAUAUAGCAUGUAGCGGUGAAAUGCUUAGAUAUGCUAUAGAACACCGAUCGCGAAGGCAGCUUACUAAACUAUAACUGACGCUCAGGCACGAAAGCGUGGGGAGCAAACAGGAUUAGAUACCCUGGUAGUCC
Molecule: ribosomal RNA, 229 nt
Filed under: uncultured bacterium
Lineage: Bacteria
Description: partial 16S ribosomal RNA
Rfam family: Bacterial small subunit ribosomal RNA
Source: RNAcentral